Molecule: ribosomal RNA, 253 nt
Filed under: uncultured bacterium
Lineage: Bacteria
Description: partial 16S ribosomal RNA
Rfam family: Bacterial small subunit ribosomal RNA
Source: RNAcentral
UACGUAGGGUGCAAGCGUUGUCCGGAAUUAUUGGGCGUAAAGAGCUCGUAGGCGGUCUGUCGCGUCGGAUGUGAAAACCCGGGGCUUAACCCCGGGCCUGCAUUCGAUACGGGCAGACUCGAGUGUGGUAGGGGAGACUGAAACUCCUGGUGUAGCGGUGAAAUGCGCAGAUAUCAGGAAGAACACCGGUGGCGAAGGCGGGUCUCUGGGCCACUACUGACGCUGAGGAGCGAAAGCGUGGGGAGCGAACAGG